Molecule: ribosomal RNA, 253 nt
Filed under: uncultured bacterium
Lineage: Bacteria
Description: partial 16S ribosomal RNA
Rfam family: Bacterial small subunit ribosomal RNA
Source: RNAcentral
UACAUAGGGUGCAAGCGUUGUUCGGAAUUAUUGGGCGUAAAGGGUGUGUAGGCGGUUUCCUAAGUCUUCUGUGAAAUCUACGGGCUUAACCUGUAACGUGCAGAGGAAACUGGGAGACUUGAGUGUCGGAGAGGAUAGGGGAAUACCCGGUGUAGAGGUGAAAUUCGUAGAGAUCGGGUGGAACACCAGUGGCGAAGGCGCCUGUCUGGCUGACAACUGACGCUGAGACUCGAAAGCAUGGGGAGCAAACAGG